RNAcentral lists this ribosomal RNA (396 nucleotides) under uncultured bacterium. RNAcentral describes it as "partial 16S ribosomal RNA". It matches the Rfam family "Bacterial small subunit ribosomal RNA", at positions 338 to 732 of the family's 1533-position model. The record is from RNAcentral.
CCUACGGGCGGCAGCAGUGAGGAAUAUUGGUCAAUGGGCGCGAGCCUGAACCAGCCAAGCCGCGUGAGUGAAGAAGGUCCAGCGUAUCGUAAACCUCUUUUGUCAGGGAACAAAGGCUGGGACUAGUCCCCGGAUGAGGGUACCUGAAGCACAAGCAUCGGCUCACUCCGUGCCAUCAGCCGCGGUAAUACGGAGGGUGCGAUCGUUAUCGGGAUUUAGUGGGUUUAACGGGUGCGCAGGGGGCCGGUUCAGUCAGCGGUAAAGGGCCGGGGCGAAACCCCGGCGGGCCGUUGAAACUGGCGGGCUGGAGUUGGAGAGAGGUAGGCAGAAUGCGAGGUGUAGCGGUGAAAUGCUUAGAGAUCGCGCAGAACCCCGAUUGCGAAGGCAGCGUACUGG